AGCAGCCGCGGUAAUUCCAGCUCCAAUAGCGUAUAUUAAAGUUGUUGCAGUUAAAAAGCUCGUAGUUGAAUUUCGGGAUCAGUAUGUUGGUCGUGCUUCGGUACGUACUGUCAUUACUGGUUUCUACCUUCUGAAGAACCUUGAUGUCAUUAAUUUGGUGUCUUGGGGAAUCAGGACUGUUACUUUGAAAAAAUUAGAGUGUUUAAAGCAAGCAUACGCUUGAAUACAUUAGCAUGGAAUAAUGAAAUAGGACGUUUGAUUCUAUUUUGUUGGUUUCUAGGAUCGACGUAAUGAUUAAUAGGGAUAGUUGGGGGCAUUAGUAUUCAAUUGUCAGAGGUGAAAUUCUUGGAUUUAUUGAAGACUAACUACUGCGAAAGCAUUUGCCAAGGAUGUUUUCAUUAAUCAAGAACGAAAGUUAGGGGAUCGAAGACGAUCAGAUACCGUCGUAGUCUUAACCAUAAACUAUGCCGACUAGGGAUCGGAUGAUGUUAUUUUUAAUGACUCAUUCGGCUACCG
This 516-nucleotide ribosomal RNA is filed under the name uncultured Glomus. Its description in RNAcentral is "SSU rRNA". It matches the Rfam family "Eukaryotic small subunit ribosomal RNA", at positions 569 to 1089 of the family's 1831-position model. The record is from RNAcentral. Lineage: Eukaryota; Fungi; Glomeromycota; Glomeromycetes; Glomerales; Glomeraceae.